GACGAACGCUGGCGGCGUGCUUAACACAUGCAAGUCGUACGGUAAGGCCCUUUCUGGGGUACACGAGUGGCGAACGGGUGAGUAACACGUGAGUAACCUGCCCACAACUUUGGGAUAACGCUAGGAAACUGGUGCUAAUACUGGAUAUGUGCUCCUGCUGCAUGGUGGGGGUUGGAAAGCUCCGGCGGGUGUGGAUGGACUCGCGGCCUAUCAGCGUGUUGGUGGGGUAGUGGCCUACCAAGGCGGCGACGGGUAGCCGGCCUGAGAGGGUGACCGGCCACAUUGGGACUGAGAUACGGCCCAGACUCCUACGGGAGGCAGCAGUGGGGAAUAUUGCACAAUGGGCGCAAGCCUGAUGCAGCAACGCCGCGUGCGGGAUGACGGCCUUCGGGUUGGAAACCGCUUUCAGCAGGGACGAAGCUUUUUGUGACGGUACCUGCAGAAGAAGCACCGGCUAACUACGUG
Molecule: ribosomal RNA, 465 nt
Filed under: uncultured bacterium
Lineage: Bacteria
Description: partial 16S ribosomal RNA
Rfam family: Bacterial small subunit ribosomal RNA
Source: RNAcentral